Molecule: long non-coding RNA, 4409 nt
Organism: Siniperca chuatsi (mandarin fish)
Lineage: Eukaryota; Metazoa; Chordata; Actinopteri; Centrarchiformes; Sinipercidae
Exons: 2
Source: RefSeq, a predicted model, not a curated record
GCCUUCGCGUACUCCUCGAAAGCUCCGAAUUCACACCACCGACCGCGAUUAAAGGGAGGGGAGUGACGCUCUGGAGGCCCUCCGGCCGUUUCUGAUGUCACCGUUCUGGACUGCUGAGGGUCAAAGGUCAACCACAGGCCUGGACUGCUGAGGGUCAAAGGUCAACCACAGGCCUGGACUGACGGAUCAUGUGUGCUUCACAACGACUGCUUUGUUUUCUCCGUGUUUACCUUUCAUCUCUCCGUAUAAUCGUGUUCGUCUGAUUUGCUGCAUGUUUCCUAAGUACAUGUGCACUGUAAGCAAUUACACAAAACAAUUAGGCAAAAGAAAAACGAUUUAAAAAAGAAAAGAAAAGGCAGUUACUAUCAACAAAGCAGCAGAGAACAACACAGUACAAACAUUUCUGCAGACCUUCAAGGCUCUCACUCAAGUAGAAAAAUGAAGGACAAAUUUGAAGAACUGGCACUUUAAACGUGGUUUUAAGUGAACUAUUGGAUGGAUUGCCAUGUCAAAAUUUUUUCAUUUGUCCAAUACUUUGUUUUUAUGACCAAAUACCUGCGAAACGUUUGCAGACAAACUAAGAUGAACAUGGUAACAAUUACGUUAAAGGGACAGUUCACCCCAAAAUCAAAUACCGCUCACCUUGUUGUGAGCAGUUUCACGUAGGAACUAUUUUCUUUCCACCGGGUCAUGAUUUCUGGAAAGAGAUGUUGCUGUUGAGUUUUGCAAUUUUUUUUUUUUUUUGGCGCUUUGAUCUCCACAAGCCGAGCGCCAUAUAGUCCAAUUAUAUAUAUAUAUAUAAAAAAAAUGCAGACAUCUCUACGGCCGGUAUCUCCAAAACUCGGCAACUCUCACCAAAACAAUCUAGAUGGAUAAACAGCGCUACAGGUGAGAGGUUUUGGGGUGAACUGUCCCUUUAAGCCUCCCAGAGCUCUUGUUAGUACAUGAACAUUAAUCUUAUAUCUACUGGGAGUUUGACACCUCGUGUGUUCAGCUUCAGCGCACAGAAAAAUCAACAUGUCUAUGACACUGCUGAUCUGUACAUAAACAAGCAAACAGGCCAGUGUUGACGUGGAAAUACUGUUUUAUUGUCUGUACCAAACUUGAUAGAAGAAAAUCGAGUUUACCAGAGUAUAACAAACACAUCAAAGUCCAGCAGAAACUAGGAGACAGAGAGGAGAGAGAGAGACUCGGGUGGCACUCGGCCCACAGCAUCUUAUCGGCACUGAUGGCCGAGAGGGAAAAGGUCAGAGGUCACACGAAGCACCACCGUUACCUUUAGAGCCAUCAUUUCACUUUGCUUAGACAUUUUCAGCAAACACACACACCUGCAUGACUCAAACUGAGGAUCAUGUAUGUUUUAUCUUUAAAUCAGCCGUGAUUAGAUGGAGAUAAUAGUUAUGGAUCCCCAGAGUGGCCAAAACGUCCGAGCAACCACGAACUCUUUCGGGUGUGUGCGUGUCACUGAAAACGUCCCCAAAUAAAUCUUGCAGCAAGGUUUCAUAUCAAACACCACACAUAUACACACACACACACGGCCCUUCUCAGUAACAACUUACAAUAACUCAUUUUACUACCAUCAUUAAACCAGACAGGAGUCGACACACAACUUGAAAUACUUUCAGUGACUUGCCAGGAAAUCGUCUUGAAGCUGCAGAAACCAGGCGAUUGUCAAAACCUCUCCAGACAUAAUGAAAGGAAACAGUAACAGACUGUUAGGGAGCCAGUGGAGGGAGGGGGUUACAUUGGUACUGGGUUCAGUACAGAGGCCACUAUGUAAAAGGGGGAGGGGGGGGGCGCAUGUGUUCCCCUUUAACAUUGCAUAACAAAAAGCACUUCUUCACUAAGGCUCGACGACACACUAACUCGUCAGAACUGCUGGAAACACCAAAAGUCGCUGUUCGGGCCUACAGUUUUAAAAUGUUCCUGCAUUGAGGCGGCUCACAGUGAACAGAGAGGGAAGUAUCCACGCUGUGCAUUUUGGGAUGGAUCCCCAAAAGUCCCGCAGUGCGUGUCUGUCCUCAGUGCGCUACGAUUUGUCUCGGCAUCGACCCAACUUAACGUGAAUGGGUUUCCCCCAAACAAACUCCCCUUAGAAAACUGGUUAAUAUGCUUAAAUCUGCCUUUUGCACUAGCAAGUCUGGUACUUAACUCCUUAACAGUACUGUGUAAGUUAUUUUAACCAGCUUGGAGCUGAGCAGCAUUUAGCCAAUAUCAAUUUGACUUCCAACUAUUUGGUUGGGCUUCAGCUUUCAGUGCGUAUAUUUAGGGAGCACAGCUGAAACUAAUUGACCGUCAGGAAACGAAUCAGCAACUAUUUUGAUAAUAUGAAUCAUUGCAAAAUGCCGAACAGUUGCUGGUUCCAGCUUCUAAAAUAUGAGGAUUUGCUGUGUUUUCCCCCCGUUUUAUAUCGUUAUAAAUGAAAUAUCUUUGGGUUUUGGACUGUCGGUCAGUCAAAACAUUCCAAUAUGCAACUUUCAGAUUUGAGAAGCUAUGAUUGGGCAUUUUUAAACUAUUUUCUGACACUUAUAUAUAUAUGAAACAAUCGAUUAACCGAGAAAAUAGUCAGCAGAUAAAUCGAUAAUGACAGUGUUGAUUAGUUGCAGCCCUACUCAUUAAUAGACCUUCAGCUCUUUUCUCUGACACAAAUAGUCAAUAGCCCAAAUUAAAAAUUUCACCAAAGAUAAUCCGGACAGUAAGGAGCAUUUUGGGGAAACACUGCACGCCCUUUUCAGUUUUUGUUGUGUUGCCUCUGUAUUGCAGCACAUUAGAUUUCAAAUUAAGGAGUUAGAAGUUCUGGCUUUCAGCUUUACUUCGAUGAGGGGUUACAUCCGCGUCCAACGAACAGCAGAGGAAGUGCAGCCCUUAUUAUACACAGUGGAUCAGAUUUUGCCGACCCAACUGUGUUGGACAAAUUAACCUAAAUAAAGUCAUGUUUAAUAUUUGGUCAAAUGUCAGUCAAUGACCCCCUGAGGUCUCGGACCCUCAGACACUUGGUAUCUUCCCUGAUAAUGCUCGAUCAGGCCUUUACUGCAGCCAGAUUAUGACUGAAACUCACUGGUUGACUCGUCUGUAUGAUCGAUUUCCUGCAUUAUCCAGAAACCGGGGGACUAGGAGUAAAACGGGCUGCGAGUCCUGCAGCGUUCACCCAAAAUUAGUGUGAAAACCCUCAAACUAAAGCUGGAAGUCGGUCAGAACUUGAACCAUCAUAUUCAGAGUUUGAUUUGAAAUCCAGCGUGCUGGAGGAGAAUAGAGACGAGACAAAACAACAACAAAAAAAAAUAAGUUACUGCACUUGCACAUCAACACACUACAAGGUUGACUGUGACUUAGAAACAAGAAACUCCUUAGUUCAAAUCUUUGGAGUGAAAAAGUACAUUCUGAACAAAGUAUGACUUGAAAAUUAUUUCUAAAAAAAAAAAAAAAAAAGGGGAGUUGUAUUUCUUUAAGAUGUGGUUUUACUGAAGGCAACUACCAGAAAAUACAAAAAAAACAAAACCUAAAACCCAGGCACCCUCUGCUUUUGUGCAACAUUCAACCCUUCUACUCACGGCAGUGUUUGUUAAAGGCUUGUGAGUUCUGCCAGCUAUCAAAUCACGUAGCUGCAACACUUAAAUUCGAAACAUCUGCGCGUCUGAGUCACUGGUGGCAAGCUGGUCUAUCAGCUGAUCGGUUUGUCCAGAGGAGGAAAAUGCUCAACUCAGCAGCCCAAAGCCAAUUGAAACUUUAAUUCCAUUCUACAGAAUAUAUAUUUUGCAAGUCUGCAGCUGUGAUACGAAUCUACAUUUAUGUCACUGUGGAGACUAAGCUGCACCUUUCAUCUAACAGGUGGCGAGAAAAACACAAAGAAGUCACCAGAAAUCCACCAGUUAAAUUCAACUGAUGAGCAUUCGAUGGAAGACAGGCGGUCUGCCGCACCCUAACACAUCUGAGCUUUUGUCCAAAAUACCUCCAAUGUUGUUUAUUUUCAGAACACAUAAAAAAUACGACUAACAGUACAAACAUUUGCCCAAAACAGCUGAGACUUACAUUAAAGUAAAAUAAAAAAAGUUAUGAAAAAUGUUUUAUGAAAAGAAAUGUUUUUUUUUUUUAAUGAAUAAGGCCAUUGAUAAAGGUAUGUACUCCAAUAACAAGUUGCUGUUAACAGGGUUUGUGUGGAAUCAACACCAGUGUGUUGUUUCAAAUUAGGUACAAAUACAGUAGAGUACAGUGGAAAAACUGGUCUCAAAUUAGAUCCACAAUAUACAAUAUUAGUAUUAAAAUUGGUCAGUCGGGGGGUGGAAAUGAAGGGGAAAAGGAGACAAAAAGACACCUGUCUUGCAUUCCCAAAAAGGAAUAAGCCUUCAGUGCUGAAAGUUUCUAACUCACGGAUCCCACAUUUUAUAAAACAGCUUUGGGAAAAACAAAAU